CCUACGGGUGGCAGCAGUCGAGAAUCAUUCACAAUGGGGGAAACCCUGAUGGUGCGACGCCACGUGGGGGAAUGAAGGUCUUCGGAUUGUAAACCCCUGUCAUGUGGGAGCAAAUUAAAAAGAUAGUACCACAAGAGGAAGAGACGGCUAACUCUGUGCCAGCAGCCGCGGUAAUACAGAGGUCUCAAGCGUUGUUCGGAAUCACUGGGCGUAAAGCGUGCGUAGGCUGUUUCGUAAGUCGUGUGUGAAAGGUGCGGGCUCAACCCGCGGACGGCACAUGAUACUGCGAGACUAGAGUAAUGGAGGGGGAACCGGAAUUCUCGGUGUAGCAGUGAAAUGCGUAGAUAUCGAGAGGAACACUCGUGGCGAAGGCGGGUUCCUGGACAUUAACUGACGCUGAGGCACGAAGGCCAGGGGAGCGAAAGGGAUUAGAUACCCCAGUAGUC
Molecule: ribosomal RNA, 446 nt
Filed under: uncultured bacterium
Lineage: Bacteria
Description: partial 16S ribosomal RNA
Rfam family: Bacterial small subunit ribosomal RNA
Source: RNAcentral